Molecule: long non-coding RNA, 112 nt
Organism: Daphnia pulicaria
Lineage: Eukaryota; Metazoa; Arthropoda; Branchiopoda; Diplostraca; Daphniidae
Exons: 3
Source: RefSeq, a predicted model, not a curated record
CAAAAUUUUCGUCUAUUUUUCUUCUUGACAUGUACCAAAUGUGAACUGUAUCCUUGUCUCCAGAGAAGGAGAUCCUCCACCAGGUUAAACCUCAAGACGCUGUCAACCGGGA